GAUAAACGCUAGCGGCAGGCUUAACACAUGCAAGUCGAGGGGCAGCAUAGAUUGUAGCAAUACAAUUGGUGGCGACCGGCGCACGGGUGCGUAACGCGUAUGCAACCUACCCGUCACAGGGGGAUAAUCCGGAGAAAUCUGGUCUAAUACCCCAUAACAUAUGGAUCGGCAUCGGUUCAUGUUGAAAUUUUCGGAGGUGACGGAUGGGCAUGCGUAGCAUUAGCUUGUUGGUGAGGUAACGGCUCACCAAGGCGACGAUGCUUAGGGGGACUGAGAGGUUUUCCCCCCACACUGGUACUGAGACACGGACCAGACUCCUACGGGAGGCAGCAGUGAGGAAUAUUGGUCAAUGGGCGCAAGCCUGAACCAGCCAUGCCGCGUGCAGGAAGACGGCUCUAUGAGUUGUAAACUGCUUUUACAAGGGGAUAAAUCGGUGUACGUGUACACCGUUGAAGGUACCUUGGGAAUAAGGAUCGGCUAACUCCGUGCCAGCAGCCGCCGUAA
Molecule: ribosomal RNA, 504 nt
Filed under: uncultured bacterium
Lineage: Bacteria
Description: partial 16S ribosomal RNA
Rfam family: Bacterial small subunit ribosomal RNA
Source: RNAcentral